UGGGGGAUAUUGCGCAAUGGGGGAAACCCUGACGCAGCAACGCCGCGUGAAGGAAGAAGGCCUUCGGGUUGUAAACUUUUGUCGCAAGGGAAGAAGACAGUGACGGUACCUUGUGAGAAAGCCACGGCUAACUACGUGCCAGCAGCCGCGGUAAUACGUAGGUGGCGAGCGUUGUCCGGAUUUACUGGGUGUAAAGGGCGCGUAGGCGGGGUAUCAAGUCAGUCGUGAAAUACCGAGGCUCAACUUCGGGGCUGCGAUUGAAACUGAUAUUCUUGAGUGUCGGAGAGGAAAGCGGAAUUCCUAGUGUAGCGGUGAAAUGCGUAGAUAUUAGGAGGAACACCAGUGGCGAAGGCGGCUUUCUGGACGAUAACUGACGCUGAGGCGCGAAAGUGUGGGGAGCAAACAGGAUUAGAUACCCUGGUAGU
This 425-nucleotide ribosomal RNA is filed under the name uncultured Clostridium sp. Its description in RNAcentral is "bacterial SSU rRNA". It matches the Rfam family "Bacterial small subunit ribosomal RNA", at positions 355 to 794 of the family's 1533-position model. Lineage: Bacteria; Bacillati; Bacillota; Clostridia; Eubacteriales; Clostridiaceae. The record is from RNAcentral.